UACGUAGGAGGCAAACGUUAUCCGGAUUUACUGGGCGUAAAGGGUGCGUAGGCGGUCUUUCAAGUCAGGAGUGAAAGGCUACGGCUCAACCGUAGUAAGCUCUUGAAACUGUAAGACUUGAGUGCAGGAGAGGAGAGUGGAAUUCCUAGUGUAGCGGUGAAAUGCGUAGAUAUUAGGAGGAACACCAGUGGCGAAGGCGGCUUACUGGACUGGCAAUGACGCUCAGGCUCGAAAGCGUGGGGAGCAAACAGGAUUAGAUACCCCCGUAGUCCCUGA
Molecule: ribosomal RNA, 276 nt
Filed under: uncultured prokaryote
Description: partial 16S ribosomal RNA
Rfam family: Bacterial small subunit ribosomal RNA
Source: RNAcentral